AAAAAAGGUAAGCUACUAAGAGCGAAUGGUGGAUGCCUUGACUGGUAAAGGCGAUGAAGGACGUACUAGACUGCGAUAAGCUACGGGGAGCUGUCAAGAAGCUUUGAUCCGUAGAUUUCCGAAUGGGGCAACCCAAUGUAUAGAGAUAUACAUUACCUAUAUAGGAGCGAACGAGGGGAAUUGAAACAUCUUAGUACCCUCAGGAAAAGAAAUCAAUAGAGAUUGCGUCAGUAGCGGCGAGCGAAAGCGCAAGAGGGCAAACCCAGUGCUUGCACUGGGGGUUGUAGGACUGCAAUGUGCAAGAGGUGAGUUUAGCAGAACAUUCUGGAAAGUAUAGCCAUAGAGGGUGAUAGUCCCGUAUGCGAAAAACAAACCUUAGCUAGCAGUAUCCUGAGUAGGGCGGGACACGAGAAAUCCUGUCUGAAGCUGGGUCGACCACGAUCCAACCCUAAAUACUAAUACCAGAUCGAUAGUGCACAAGUACCGUGAGGGAAAGGUGAAAAGAACUGAGGUGAUCAGAGUGAAAUAGAACCUGAAACCAUUUGCUUACAAUCAUUCAGAGCCCUAUGUAGCAAUACAGGGUGAUGGACUGCCUUUUGCAUAAUGAGCCUGCGAGUUGUGGUGUCUGGCAAGGUUAAGCAAACGCGAAGCCGUAGCGAAAGCGAGUCUGAAUAGGGCGCUUAGUCAGAUGCUGCAGACCCGAAACGAAGUGAUCUAUCCAUGAGCAAGUUGAAGCUAGUGUAAGAACUAGUGGAGGACUGAACCCAUAGGCGUUGAAAAGCCCCGGGAUGACUUGUGGAUAGGGGUGAAAGGCCAAUCAAACUUCGUGAUAGCUGGUUCUCUCCGAAAUAUAUUUAGGUAUAGCGUUGUGUCGUAAUAUAAGGGGGUAGAGCACUGAAUGGGCUAGGGCAUACACCAAUGUACCAAACCCUAUCAAACUCCGAAUACCUUAUAUGUAAUCACAGCAGUCAGGCGGCGAGUGAUAAAAUCCGUCGUCAAGAGGGAAACAACCCAGACUACCAGCUAAGGUCCCUAAAUCUUACUUAAGUGGAAAACGAUGUGAAGUUACUUAAACAACCAGGAGGUUGGCUUAGAAGCAGCCAUCCUUUAAAGAAAGCGUAAUAGCUCACUGGUCUAGUGAUUUUGCGCGGAAAAUAUAACGGGGCUAAAGUAAGUACCGAAGCUGUAGACUUGCGCACAACUUAGAUUAUUUAAGUUUAGAAUAUGAGAAACUAAGUUAUAUGUUUAGUUAUAUUUUUACUGAUUUUUAUAGAGUAAAGAUAGAAAUAAAACUUAGUAAAAUCAGUAAAAAUAUUCUUAGACUAAAGUUAAGUAGUUUAAGUUGUGUGCAAGUGGUAGGAGAGCGUUCUAUUUGCGUCGAAGGUAUACCGGUAAGGAGUGCUGGAGCGAAUAGAAGUGAGCAUGCAGGCAUGAGUAGCGAUAAUUAAUGUGAGAAUCAUUAACGCCGUAAACCCAAGGUUUCCUACGCGAUGCUCGUCAUCGUAGGGUUAGUCGGGUCCUAAGUCGAGUCCGAAAGGGGUAGACGAUGGCAAAUUGGUUAAUAUUCCAAUACCAACAUUAGUGUGCGAUGGAAGGACGCUUAGGGCUAAGGGGGCUAGCGGAUGGAAGUGCUAGUCUAAGGUCGUAGGAGGUUAUACAGGCAAAUCCGUAUAACAAUACUCCGAGAACUGAAAGGCUUUUUGAAGUCUUCGGAUGGAUAGAAGAACCCCUGAUGCC
RNAcentral lists this ribosomal RNA (1737 nucleotides) under Campylobacter coli. Its description in RNAcentral is "partial 23S ribosomal RNA". It matches the Rfam family "Bacterial large subunit ribosomal RNA", at positions 1 to 1609 of the family's 2925-position model. Lineage: Bacteria; Pseudomonadati; Campylobacterota; Epsilonproteobacteria; Campylobacterales; Campylobacteraceae. The record is from RNAcentral.